RNAcentral lists this ribosomal RNA (495 nucleotides) under uncultured bacterium. RNAcentral's name for it is "partial 16S ribosomal RNA". It matches the Rfam family "Bacterial small subunit ribosomal RNA", at positions 28 to 507 of the family's 1533-position model. The record is from RNAcentral.
GACGAACGCUGGCGGCGUGCCUAAUACAUGCAAGUAGAACGCUGAAGGAGGAGCUUGCUUCUCUGGAUGAGUUGCGAACGGGUGAGUAACGCGUAGGUAACCUGCCUGGUAGCGGGGGAUAACUAUUGGAAACGAUAGCUAAUACCGCAUAAGAGUAGAUGUUGCAUGACAUUUGCUUAAAAGGUGCAAUUGCAUCACUACCAGAUGGACCUGCGUUGUAUUAGCUAGUUGGUGGGGUAACGGCUUACCAAGGCGACGAUACAUAGCCGACCUGAGAGGGGGAUCGGCCACACUGGGACUGAGACACGGCCCAGACUCCUACGGGAGGCAGCAGUAGGGAAUCUUCGGCAAUGGACGGAAGUCUGACCGAGCAACGCCGCGUGAGUGAAGAAGGGUUUCGGAUCGUAAAGCUCUGUUGUAAGAGAAGAACGAGUGUGAGAGUGGAAAGUUCACACUGUGACGGUAUCUUACCAGAAAGGGACGGCUAACUACGUG